UGAACGCUAGCUACAGGCUUAACACAUGCAAGUCGUGGGGCAGCGGAUGCUUAGCUUGCUAAGUAUGCCGGCGACCGGCGGCACGGGUGAGUAACGCGUACCGAACCUGCCCAUCACACAGGGAUAGGCUUGCGAAAGCAAGAUUAAUACCUGAUGGUCUCAGUUGUAUGCAUGUAUAAUUGAGUAAAGCCUUCGGGCGGUGAUGGAUGGCGGUGCGUCCCAUUAGGAAGUUGGCGGGGUAACGGCCCACCAAUCCUUCGAUGGGUAGGGGUUCUGAGAGGAAGGUCCCCCACAUUGGAACUGAGAUACGGUCCAAACUCCUACGGGAGGCAGCAGUGAGGAAUAUUGGUCAAUGGGCGAGAGCCUGAACCAGCCAAGUAGCGUGCGGGAUGAAGGCCCUUGUGGUCGUAAACCGCUUUUAUCAGUGAAUAAAGUGCACCACGUGUGGUGUCAUUGCAGGUAGCUGAAGAAAAAGGACCGGCUAAUUCCGUG
RNAcentral lists this ribosomal RNA (492 nucleotides) under uncultured Prevotella sp. Its description in RNAcentral is "bacterial SSU rRNA". It matches the Rfam family "Bacterial small subunit ribosomal RNA", at positions 30 to 507 of the family's 1533-position model. The record is from RNAcentral. Lineage: Bacteria; Pseudomonadati; Bacteroidota; Bacteroidia; Bacteroidales; Prevotellaceae.